GUCCCAGGCCACAGUGGCCUAGUUUCAGAUGCUCCCCCUGCCCCAUCUCAAGGCUCAGAAAACCAUUUUCUGGUAAAUAACCAGAAAACCCAUGUUGGGAUUAUAACAUCUACCAUGACUGAGGGCAGCCACCCAGUCAGCCAACCUACCAUGACCAAUACAGCAAUGUUGCCCAUCCCUUAGGACUCAGAGGACUUUCUUCAGGAGCUUAGAAAAAUGUACCACCAAGGAGAACAUGGGGGAGGAAGAGGAAAGCAACUGCAUGGAAAAACUGUCCAGAACUACUGCAGGACAAUGUUCUAUAGGGGAUACAAAUAUUCCCAAGUGGUGAUUACCAGUACUUACCAGAACUCAAGAGCACCUCUGUGGCAUUACCCUCCACAUUUCCUCCCAGAACAAAAAUGAAACUGCCCAUCAUUGAGAAUUCUUGAUCAAUAAAAUCUGAUCACUGCAA
Molecule: long non-coding RNA, 454 nt
Organism: Mustela lutreola (European mink)
Lineage: Eukaryota; Metazoa; Chordata; Mammalia; Carnivora; Mustelidae
Exons: 2
Source: RefSeq, a predicted model, not a curated record